This 472-nucleotide ribosomal RNA is filed under the name uncultured organism. Its description in RNAcentral is "partial 16S ribosomal RNA". It matches the Rfam family "Bacterial small subunit ribosomal RNA", at positions 333 to 797 of the family's 1533-position model. The record is from RNAcentral.
ACACUCCUACGGGAGGCAGCAGUGGGGAAUUUUGGACAAUGGGCGAAAGCCUGAUCCAGCAAUGCCGCGUGAGUGAAGAAGGCCUUCGGGUUGUAAAGCUCUUUUGUCAGGGAAGAAACGGUGAGAGCUAAUAUCUUUUGCUAAUGACGGUACCUGAAGAAUAAGCACCGGCUAACUACGUGCCAGCAGCCGCGGUAAUACGUAGGGUGCAAGCGUUAAUCGGAAUUACUGGGCGUAAAGCGUGCGCAGGCGGUUUUGUAAGUCUGAUGUGAAAUCCCCGGGCUCAACCUGGGAAUUGCAUUGGAGACUGCAAGGCUAGAAUCUGGCAGAGGGGGGUAGAAUUCCACGUGUAGCAGUGAAAUGCGUAGAUAUGUGGAGGAACACCGAUGGCGAAGGCAGCCCCCUGGGUCAAGAUUGACGCUCAUGCACGAAAGCGUGGGGAGCAAACAGGAUUAGAAACCCGGGUAGUCCC